UAGAGUUUGAUCAUGGCUCAGAUUGAACGCUGGCGGCAGGCCUAACACAUGCAAGUCGAACGGUAACAUUUCUAGCUUGCUAGAAGAUGACGAGUGGCGGACGGGUGAGUAAUGCUUGGGAACUUGCCUUUGCGAGGGGGAUAACAGUUGGAAACGACUGCUAAUACCGCAUAAUGUCUUCGGACCAAACGGGGCUUCGGCUCCGGCGCAAAGAGAGGCCCAAGUGAGAUUAGCUAGUUGGUAAGGUAACGGCUUACCAAGGCGACGAUCUCUAGCUGUUCUGAGAGGAAGAUCAGCCACACUGGGACUGAGACACGGCCCAGACUCCUACGGGAGGCAGCAGUGGGGAAUAUUGCACAAUGGGGGAAACCCUGAUGCAGCCAUGCCGCGUGUGUGAAGAAGGCCUUCGGGUUGUAAAGCACUUUCAGUUGUGAGGAAAAGUUAGUAGUUAAUACCUGCUAGCCGUGACGUUAACAACAGAAGAAGCACCGGCUAACUCCGUGCCAGCAGCCGCGGUAAUACGGAGGGUGCGAGCGUUAAUCGGAAUUACUGGGCGUAAAGCGCACGCAGGCGGUUUGUUAAGCUAGAUGUGAAAGCCCCGGGCUCAACCUGGGAUGGUCAUUUAGAACUGGCAGACUAGAGUCUUGGAGAGGGGAGUGGAAUUCCAGGUGUAGCGGUGAAAUGCGUAGAUAUCUGGAGGAACAUCAGUGGCGAAGGCGACUCCCUGGCCAAAGACUGACGCUCAUGUGCGAAAGUGUGGGUAGCGAACAGGAUUAGAUACCCUGGUAGUCCACACCGUAAACGCUGUCUACUAGCUGUGUGUGUCUUUAAGACGUGCG
Molecule: ribosomal RNA, 839 nt
Filed under: uncultured Pseudomonadota bacterium
Lineage: Bacteria; Pseudomonadati; Pseudomonadota
Description: bacterial SSU rRNA
Rfam family: Bacterial small subunit ribosomal RNA
Source: RNAcentral